UACGUAGGGGGCAAGCGUUAUCCGGAUUUACUGGGUGUAAAGGGAGCGUAGACGGUGAAGCAAGUCUGAAGUGAAAGGCGGGGGCUCAACCCCCGGACUGCUUUGGAAACUGUUUGACUGGAGUGCAGGAGAGGUAAGUGGAAUUCCUAGUGUAGCGGUGAAAUGCGUAGAUAUAUGGAAGAACACCAGUGGCGAAGGCGGCUCUCUGGUCUGCAACUGACGCUGAGGCUCGAAAGCAUGGGUAGCGAACAGG
This 253-nucleotide ribosomal RNA is filed under the name uncultured Eubacteriales bacterium. Its description in RNAcentral is "uncultured Clostridiales bacterium partial 16S ribosomal RNA". It matches the Rfam family "Bacterial small subunit ribosomal RNA", at positions 524 to 776 of the family's 1533-position model. The record is from RNAcentral. Lineage: Bacteria; Bacillati; Bacillota; Clostridia; Eubacteriales.